This 330-nucleotide unclassified non-coding RNA is filed under the name uncultured Rhizophlyctidales. RNAcentral's name for it is "sequence contains 5.8S rRNA gene, ITS2, 28S rRNA gene". Lineage: Eukaryota; Fungi; Chytridiomycota; Chytridiomycetes; Rhizophlyctidales. The record is from RNAcentral.
AACGCACAUUGCGCUCCUUGGUAUUCCGGGGAGCAUGCCUGUUUGAGAAUCAGUAAAAUUCAUCAAUUGCAUUUUGCUCGGUGCAAACCUUGCUUCUGCAGUUGGAUAUGAGCCUUUUGCGCCUGGCGCAAUGGCUUGAAAUUCAAUGUCACGAAACCAAUGGCUUCUGGUCUGGUUCUUCGAGCGCAUGAAUGGUUGUAUUAAUUUACUCCUGUUCGCUCAUUUUGGAUCAUUCCUUGCUGUCGGACCUUUGUGCUCAACCAAUUUUCCAGGGACGAAAGUCCUUGAACACUUGGUCUCAAAUCAGGUAGGAAAACCCGCUGAACUUAA